RNAcentral lists this ribosomal RNA (387 nucleotides) under uncultured bacterium. Its description in RNAcentral is "bacterial SSU rRNA". It matches the Rfam family "Bacterial small subunit ribosomal RNA", at positions 370 to 772 of the family's 1533-position model. The record is from RNAcentral.
AAUGGGGGAAACCCUGACCCAGCAACGCCGCGUGAGGGAAGAAGGUUCUCGGAUUGUAAACCUCUGUCCCAUGGGAAGAAAAAAUGACGGUACCAUGGGAGGAAGCCCCGGCUAACUACGUGCCAGCAGCCGCGGUAAUACGUAGGGGGCAAGCGUUGUCCGGAAUUAUUGGGCGUAAAGGGUGCGUAGGCGGCCCCUCAAGUUGGAUGUGAAAUCCCCGUGCUUAACAUGGGAAUUGCAUUCAAAACUGAAGGGCUUGAGUGUGGAAGAGGUAAGUGGAAUUCCCAGUGUAGCGGUGAAAUGCGUAGAUAUUGGGAGGAACACCAGUGGCGAAGGCGACUUACUGGGCCACAACUGACGCUGAGGCACGAAAGCGUGGGGAGCAAA